Molecule: non-coding RNA, 1795 nt
Organism: Heterocephalus glaber (naked mole-rat)
Lineage: Eukaryota; Metazoa; Chordata; Mammalia; Rodentia; Bathyergidae
Source: RefSeq, a predicted model, not a curated record
AAUAGAGUGUCUUAGUGAGGCCCUGUUUCCAAAAAAUAAAUAAAAAUUAAAAAUGCCCAGUGAUGAACAAAUGUAAAAAGUAGCCAUAAACAAUACUAAUCAGCACUUUUUGAGUACAAAAUAUGUGCCCAUCAUUGUAACAGGGUUGUUCUUAUCUUUCUGUAAUUAGAAAUUAUUACUAUCCUCAAUUACCAGUUGGGGAAGCUUGGUCUACAAGGUGUAGGAACCUUGGCCAAGUCCCUUUAUGGUCUGUGACCUGGGAAGAGCAAGGAGCAGGCCUGGGCCCAGUGCUUCUCCGUGCUGUGUGACCCACAGGACACUGCAUGCUGCGGUGUGACUGAACCUGGAGACUGGAUCUCAGUGCUUUAUCUUUUCCCUAAUAGCUGAGGAAUUGAGGGCUGGGGUCUCGAGGUUGCCAGCUGGCGUGUCCCACAGCCAGGACGCAGGCCCGAGUCCAUCCGUCAGCCUGCUGCAUCACAGCCUUUUGGUUACCAGGCCCCAUCACUUUCCUGCUCAAACAAAUCCAGACCUGCUUGGGGCCAGGUUGGGACAGAGCACUGUCCUUUCAAGUCCGAAUCCCCCUUACUCCCAUCCUUCUCAAGUGUGGGGAAACAGGGACUCCCUUGCAGCACCCCAGUACCUGGCUGGCCCUCACCUGGGGCUCCAGGUAGCUGACCUCCUUCCCGAUGAUGUCAGGGAUAAGGGCAAGCUCAGCUUCCCAAGGGUCUGUGUCAGUGUUGUGGUAUCAGAUGACCUAGUGCUAAGUGCUUCACCUCUGGACAUUUAGCUAUUCCUGGUAAGAAACCCAUGAAGAGAACUGUUAUUGUCUACAUGUCAUAGAUUAGCAAUCAGCAUCUCGAAGAGGCUAAGUAGCUUUCAAGGUGACACUGCUAAUUAAUCAGUGGGCAGUUCAGGGUAAUGAUGAUAACACACAUGCUCCUUCUGCUCUGUUCCUUCUAAUAGCACUGCAUUCCUUCUGUGUGCCUGCUACUGCGUGCUUUUCAUACUUCUCAACCUCAUAUACCAACUUUUUUCUUUUCACUGUGUGAAGAACACAAAAAUCCUCAAUGUCACCAGAGUAUCACUGGUAUGAGCUGUUUCCCCUCUGCUGCGACACCCUGCCUCAGAGCCGGCCGCCUAUGGACUGAAACCUCUGCACACUGUGAGCCAAAAUAGACCUCUCCUCCUUUAACUUGUGUCAGGAAGUGCAUCCCAGCAACAAGGAAGUGACUAAGACGAUCCUCAUCGACAAUUAAAGGAGAAGCUUAUAGAAAGGUUAAAAUGGAAAGUGCUAUCUUUCCAGAUCCUGCUGUGCUGGUGAGGGAGGAAGAUCUUGUGAUCAGACGUUGUGCAGUCCUAGUGUGGGUAUCAGCUUUCCCGGAGGCAAAGGGUCAGUCUUCACCUGCUGCCUUGCUUUCUCUGCUGCUGUGUACCCAUUGCUCCUACAGAGGGCCUGGACUGAAGGACCCUAGUUAGCAAGACAGACUCCAUAUUGCUGCUGAGCGACCCACCUGCCUGGCCUUUAGAUGAACUCAAAAGGAGGAAGCUUAGGAACCUCCUCCCCUUAGAGAGUCUCUUAGAAACAACAAUUAAUCAACUAUUGUUUUACAGAUGUUCUAAAGACAGGAUGUUCCGCUUCUGUACCUUUUGCUUGCUUUGCUAGUUCUGUCCCAUAGUGGGGACUAGAAACUGCUGGCCUCAAAGGUAUAUAAAAUAUGUUAAUCUCUCCCAGUCUGGGCUCAAGUCUGAUGCUCGGCUCAGUCCUGGCAGGUAAUAAACUCCUGUGUGGAUUUAA